GCAUUAGCAGUGUAACGGUAUCACACCAGCCUUCCAAGCUGGUGACUUUAGGCUAAUGCA
RNAcentral lists this transfer RNA (60 nucleotides) under Naegleria gruberi. It matches the Rfam family "tRNA". Rfam says of the family: Transfer RNA (tRNA) molecules are approximately 80 nucleotides in length. Their secondary structure includes four short double-helical elements and three loops (D, anti-codon, and T loops). Lineage: Eukaryota; Heterolobosea; Eutetramitea; Acrasida; Naegleriidae. The record is from Rfam by way of RNAcentral.